Molecule: ribosomal RNA, 563 nt
Filed under: Kuraishia cf. molischiana CBS 4327
Lineage: Eukaryota; Fungi; Ascomycota; Pichiomycetes; Pichiales; Pichiaceae
Description: eukaryotic LSU rRNA
Rfam family: Eukaryotic large subunit ribosomal RNA
Source: RNAcentral
AAACCAACAGGGAUUGCCUUAGUAACGGCGAGUGAAGCGGCAAGAGCUCAAAUUUGAAAUCUGGUACCUUCGGUGCCCGAGUUGUAAUUUGAAGAAGGUAUACUUUAGUUUGGCCCCCGUCUAUGUUCCUUGGAACAGGACGUCAUAGAGGGUGAGAAUCCCGUGCGAUGGGGUGUCCAUUCUUUGUAAGUUUCCUUCGACGAGUCGAGUUGUUUGGGAAUGCAGCUCUAAGUGGGUGGUAAAUUCCAUCUAAAGCUAAAUAUUGGCGAGAGACCGAUAGCGAACAAGUACAGUGAUGGAAAGAUGAAAAGAACUUUGAAAAGAGAGUGAAAAAGUACGUGAAAUUGUUGAAAGGGAAGGGUAUUUGAUCAGACUUGGUAUUAGAAUAUGGCAGCUCUCGGGUUGUCCUCUAUUCUUUUACUGGGCCAGCAUCGGUUCGGAUGGCAAGAUAAUUACGUUUGAAUGUAGCUCCUUUGGAGUGUUAUAGCUUUCGUGGAUAUUGCCUGUCUGGACCGAGGACUGCGUCUUUUGACUAGGAUGCUGGCGUAAUGAUUAAAUACCGC